CCUACUUCACGUUUUUCUUUCUCGAUCUCUUCACAUGACAAACCCCAUCUAUGCCGGCGAGCCCCUCUCUGCCUAACCCCUCUACGCUGCCUAAACGCCUUUGUGUCCCCCCCUCCUUUGCAUUUUCCUUCCUAAACGUAAACGUCUAAACGACUUCCCGAACUCAAAGCAGCAAAACAAUCCGUCCAACCUACAAUCUCUUCGCCUAGCUCUCUGCAUUUUGAUGAACUGAGAGGGGGGCGAGCUUCCCCUCUGCAUUCUUUUCCUCGCCCCGCAUGCCACACCGAAGCCCUCUCCCACAACCUCGCCAUCGCCAGCGGCCUCCCGCCCCUCCUCCAACUCUGCCGCCACCUCGCUGCCACCAAAAGCCCCUCGACUUCCCUGACGAGCUCUUCUUCAUCUUGUAAGAGGCAAGGAUGAACCAGGCACUGUUGCAGGAUCAGGAGCAAUGGAGGGACGCAAUGGUCAUGGUGGACUUGGAGAGGAGGUUCUAGGUCUUCAAUGAUUUGGUGCAGAGGGCCUCUAAGGUGGUGUCUCCUGAGGAUGUCAGUGAAAGGGGAUCUGAGGAGGUGGGAUUCAAGGUUUGGUUUGAUGUGGCAGUGUCUAGAUUUAGGAGGAGUUUGAGCUUGAUUGGUAAGGAGAAUGAUGGCAACUUGGGUGAUUCUGAUUACUCCAGUGGGUCGGCUUAUCCCUUCAAAUAUGAGCUACCUUCCGGUCAGAUCCUUUUCCCCCCAAUUUCACUCCUUUUCCCCCCAAUUUCACUGCUCUUUUCUUAGUUUUUUUUUAACUUAUUUUCCUUCUUGAUUGACAAGGAGAAGGAUGGCAAGUAGGAUGAUUAGCUUGAACAACACAUGGUCAUAAUAAAUCUAGGGAUGCUUCGAGAACACAGGAUUCAAUACAUGUAGACCAUUUGAUUAGAGAUGAUCCUUCAAAUGUGAAAGCAUAUGAUUUUGAGUCCCAUCUUCCUAUUGAAGAACUUUUCAUGAGAGUUUCUUUUCGUCAGAAAAAUUUUGUUGAGAGUUUGCAAGGAUGCACAGAGAAGUAUGAUACAAUUCUUUGAUAUUCUAAUCUCAUACACAAAGAUAUCUGCUAUGUUGUCUAAGAAGACUAUAAGAGAUGUCGCAUUGAGGUGCCAAUGGAUCACAGUAAGCUCCUUGUUUACUAUGAUGACUUUUAUGUAAAAUUCUGAUUUGGUGUUUAUGUUUUUACUUGUGCUCAGCUACCUUGAAUUCCUAAUAAUGACCUUUUGCC
Long non-coding RNA from Zingiber officinale, 1251 nucleotides. RefSeq lists it as uncharacterized. The record is from RefSeq and is a predicted model, not a curated record. The transcript has 2 exons. Lineage: Eukaryota; Viridiplantae; Streptophyta; Magnoliopsida; Zingiberales; Zingiberaceae.